ACACACUACAAUUGUCAUUUGCAUAAACAAUAACAUUUAUUGCAGAACAUAAAAUAUGAAUUUGGCACAAAUAAUAAAUAUAUCAUGUACAGGAUUAAAAAUAAUAUCUGCAGCCAUACUCAACCACUCCUUACAUUGUUUCAUUUUUGUUCUCCCCUUAAAGGGACACUAUAGUCACCUGAACAACUUUAGCUUAAUGAAGCAGUUUUGGUGUAUAGAAUAUGCCCCUGCAGCCUCACUGCUAAAUCCUCUGCCAUUUAGGCGUUAAAUCCCUUUGUUUAUGAUCCCUAGUCACACCUCCCUGCAUGUGACUUGCACAGCCUUCCAUAAACACUUCCUGUAAAGAGAGCCCUAUUUAGGCUUUCUUUAUUGCAAGUUCUGUUUAAUUAAGAUUUUCUUAUCCCCUGCUAUGUUAAUAGCUUGCUAGACCCUGCAAGAGCCUCCUGUAGGUGAUUAAAGUUCAAUUUAG
This is a non-coding RNA of Pelobates cultripes (western spadefoot toad), 469 nucleotides long. The record is from the annotation of a GenBank genome assembly. NCBI's taxonomy places the organism in Eukaryota, Metazoa, Chordata, Amphibia, Anura, Pelobatidae.